This 218-nucleotide ribosomal RNA is filed under the name uncultured bacterium. RNAcentral describes it as "partial 16S ribosomal RNA". It matches the Rfam family "Bacterial small subunit ribosomal RNA", at positions 70 to 526 of the family's 1533-position model. The record is from RNAcentral.
CGCCCGCCGCGCGCGGCGGGCGGGGCGGGGUGCACGGGGUGGCUUACGGGAGCAGCAGUGAGGAAUUUUCCGCAAUGGGCGCAAGCCUGACGGAGCAAUACCGCGUGGAGGAGGAAGUGCCCGUGGGUCGUAAACUCCUUUUCUCAGAGAAGAACACAAUGACGGUAUCUGAGGAAUAAGCAUCGGCUAACUCCGUGCCAGCAGCCGCGGUAAUAAUC